RNAcentral lists this small RNA (117 nucleotides) under Marmota monax (woodchuck). The record is from RNAcentral. Lineage: Eukaryota; Metazoa; Chordata; Mammalia; Rodentia; Sciuridae.
GCCAGGUUUGGUAGCAUAUACCUGUAAUCCCAGCUACUUUGGAGGCUGAGGUGGGAGGACUGCUUGAGCCCAGGAGUUCAAGACCCACCUGGGCCACAUAGUGAGAUCCUAUGACAA